CCUACGGGAGGCAGCAGUAGGGAAUCUUCCACAAUGGGCGAAAGCCUGAUGGAGCAACGCCGCGUGGGUGAAGAAGGUCUUCGGAUCGUAAAACCCUGUUGUUAGAGAAGAAAGUGCGUGCGAGUAACUGUUCACGUUUCGACGGUAUCUAACCAGACAGCCACGGCUAACUACGUGCCAGCAGCCGCUGUAAUACGUAGGUGGCAAACGUUAACCGGAUUUAUUGGGAGUAAAGGGAACGCAGGCGGUCUUUUAAGUCUGAUGGGAAAGCCUUCGGCUUAACCGGAGUAGUGCAUUGGAAACUGGGAGACUUGAGUGCAGAAGAGGAGAGUGGAACUCCAUGUGUAGCGGUGAAAUGCGUAGAUAUAUGGAAGAACACCAGUGGCGAAAGCGGCUCUCUGGUCUGUAACUGACGCUGAGGUUCGAAAGCGUGGGUAGCAAACAGGAUUAGAUACCCCUGUAGUC
This 465-nucleotide ribosomal RNA is filed under the name uncultured bacterium. RNAcentral's name for it is "partial 16S ribosomal RNA". It matches the Rfam family "Bacterial small subunit ribosomal RNA", at positions 338 to 795 of the family's 1533-position model. The record is from RNAcentral.